This is a long non-coding RNA of Clupea harengus (Atlantic herring), 1100 nucleotides long. The record is from Ensembl. NCBI's taxonomy places the organism in Eukaryota, Metazoa, Chordata, Actinopteri, Clupeiformes, Clupeidae.
AUUAAUCAUUUCACGUUUGGACUGAAAGUCCAGUUUUGAGAACUGCUUCAGCUUAGCAAUAAAAUCUUCCAUUUUCGCCGUCAAGUAGAAGUGUAGAAGAAGAGCAACGUUUCCCAGCAUAACCCCGACAGGUGCGCUCUCGCACGCCCCCUUCAUUGAGGCAGAGGUACUGUGUGCCUCACCUACAUGAUUUUUCAAUGCGUUUUGAGCUCAGCUCAAAGGUUCUACGCAUGCGCACGCAUGCGCAAAACCCAGUUUGGAGCGAUUGCGCAAUCCUAGGUGAGGCACUGCCUCACUAGCUCCCAUAGACAAUACAUGGUGCCUAACCUGACCGCACGUCCCUUGUUUUCUCCCGUCUAUUUGAAUAGGACAUGCGCAAAUUCAGCGAAUUCAGCGAUUUUGAUUAUAAAAAUGCUCGAAAUGAUUGGAAUCAUGCAGAAAUUACACCUAUACCACAGAUUAGUAGAGAAAUAUCAAUAUUUAUUUUAUUUUAUAAUUUUUUUUUUUUUUUCAAGAUGACAGGCUCUGCCUCACCUGCCUCAUAGGACCGCACGUCCCUGAUUUAAUGUUUAAUUGAUCUUUUGUAGAUUCUCUCUAAAUGUGAGUAGGUCAAAUUUUACCAUUUGAUUCAGUAACCACAUAUAACAUUUUUCAUCUCUCUCUCUCUCUUGUAAUUCAAUGAAACAUUUUGGUUGUACUGGAACAAAUUGAAAUAGAAAUUCUUUUUACAAUUUUUUCAAAGUUUAUUUUUGUAUUACCAUCAUUUUUUAUAAAAUCUUCAGAACUGAAAAUGUUUUGAAAAACGAGUACGCUUUUUGUUUAAUGUCUAGACCACAAGAUCCUUCACCAGUGCUGAUUUCCCCACCCAGUUUCCACCUCCACUUCCUCCAGUAUUCCACAGGGCAUUUUCAAGAUCCAUAUUCAGUCCUUUUUAUCACAAAUAAGACAAUAUAAUGAAGUAGUUUCGCAGGGGUUUGUAAUUGUUUGUAAAACAAACAUACGCUAAUAUGAAUUCAUUUUAAUACUGGCCUUUGAUACUAAUUUAAGUGAUACUUAAGUUUUAGAGGCUUGAUACUCUAUUACACAUCAUGCAAAUAGCU